Molecule: long non-coding RNA, 979 nt
Filed under: Marmota monax (woodchuck)
Lineage: Eukaryota; Metazoa; Chordata; Mammalia; Rodentia; Sciuridae
Source: RNAcentral
CUGAAUUUUAAUCUCAGCUUUACUAGGGAUUCACUCUGUGAUCUUGGGCAAGCCGACAUCUCUCUGAGUCAGUGUCCUCCUCUUCAACAAAGUGCUAAUAACAGUAUAUAUUUCAUAGAUAUGUCAUGAAGUUUAAAGGAGAUAAUAUAUGUGCAUCAUUUGGAGUAGUUCUAGGUAUCUAUUAAAUAGUAGAAAAUAUUAGCUAUUAUUAUUCUUUCAUGAACAAGCCACUCUUAUUUAACUAUCUUUACAAGUGUGGUCAAAUUUCUUUCAAACUUUUUUCACUUAGAACACUUCCUAUUUUUGUGAAGCCGCUGUUUUGCGCCUAGGUGACUGGAGUUCUAAUCUGAUGCAAUUUCACGCUCAAUAAAGGCCAGUAAAAAAUAAAUGAGCCUUCUGAUGGAGUCUGGGUUUUUUUCAGGCAAGUAGUGAAAAUGUUUAAAGAAAGGUAGUGAGGCUACUAGCUUUGAUUGAGCAAGAGGGAGGAGCCUGGCAGGGAGGUGGAUGUAGAGAAAAGUCCGACUGUCCACAGGAGCUUGUGCACCCUGGCUUCACCUUACUCUGUUCUUUCCAGGCACACGGUAAAUGGUAAACUAUUUUUAACCGGAUGAAUAACUGGUGUCCUGAAUUCUAGGUUCCAGUGCAGUUGAAGGUUUAAAAGACAGCAAUGAUCUCCCUUCUCCCCACAUGUCUUGAUGGUCUUUUUUGUUCACAACCUCCUUAUAUCACAAAAAUAAUCACUGAAAUAGACAUGCUGAGAUUGUCUCUGUCUCUUAUGAUUGUAUUGGGGAGAUUAAAAGUAUAUGUCUAAAAUUUACAGUUGGGAAACAAAAUUAAUAGACUCUUAGGGUAGGAUGAGAUCAUAAGAUGCCAUUUAUCAAGUUAUCUACUUUUAACAAAAGUGGAAAAUAGGUGCAGGUUGUUUUAGUGACUUAAAAAGGUCAGCUAGUUUCUAAAUAGUAAAGUUGAUAAUGAAAUG